Ooceraea biroi (clonal raider ant) is the source of this 563-nucleotide long non-coding RNA. RefSeq lists it as uncharacterized. The record is from RefSeq and is a predicted model, not a curated record. Lineage: Eukaryota; Metazoa; Arthropoda; Insecta; Hymenoptera; Formicidae.
UAUCAAGUAUCUUGUAAAAAGAUAUAGAAAAGAGAACAAAUGAUAUUUAGAAUUUAAUUUUAUAAUCUUUAGAUCACGAAAAGUAUAUUCUCAAUUCAUCAUGAGAACAUUUCUAAAUUUUGUUCUACUCAUCACGUUGAUGAUUGCCAUUAUGAUACCAUUGGGAAUCUGCAACACGACAACCGAAGCAUAUAGAAGCACCAUUAUUGGCGUUCCUAUGAGAACUUCUUGUCCGCCAGGCCAGCGAAAAGAUUCUCAUGGAGUAUGUCGUAAACCAACAUAAUAGCAAUGAUCCACAGAAUUGAAUAUCAUCAAAAACCGGUUUUCCUCAUCAAAAAGAGUGACGUAAUCUGAAGAAUAUAAAUAUCGGACUUGUGAGAGGCAGAGAUUGUUCACCUGCUGGAAUUCGUUGAAAGCCCAGUCCAAUUUGUGCUGAUUUCUGUCAGUUUGAAUUUAAACUCGUGAAACUCUGAAGAACUCAAAAGCCUAUAAGAGGAAUGUUGAUAGAAAUAUAAUAAAGUGGUGGUAUUUUGUUAUUAUUUAAAAACUAGUUUGUGAUACUA